This 429-nucleotide ribosomal RNA is filed under the name Chloroflexota bacterium. Its description in RNAcentral is "Chloroflexi bacterium partial 16S ribosomal RNA". It matches the Rfam family "Bacterial small subunit ribosomal RNA", at positions 355 to 776 of the family's 1533-position model. Lineage: Bacteria; Bacillati; Chloroflexota. The record is from RNAcentral.
UGGGGAAUAUUGCACAAUGGGCGCAAGCCUGAUGCAGCCAUGCCGCGUGUAUGAAGAAGGCCUUCGGGUUGUAAAGUACUUUCAGUCGGGAGGAAGGUGGUAAGGUUAAUAACCUUGGCAAUUGACGUUACCGACAGAAGAAGCACCGGCUAACUCCGUGCCAGCAGCCGCGGUAAUACGGAGGGUGCAAGCGUUAAUCGGAAUUACUGGGCGUAAAGCGCACGCAGGCGGUCUGUCAAGUCGGAUGUGAAAUCCCCGGGCUCAACCUGGGAACUGCAUUCGAAACUGGCAGGCUAGAGUCUUGUAGAGGGGGGUAGAAUUCCAGGUGUAGCGAUGAAAUGCGUAGAGAUCUGGAGGAAUACCGGUGGCGAAGGCGGCCCCCUGGACAAAGACUGACGCUCAGGUGCGAAAGCGUGGGGAGCAAACAGG